AUUGAACGCUGGCGGUAUGCUUUACACAUGCAAGUCGAACGGCAGCACGGGGCAACCUGGUGGCGAGUGGCGAACGGGUGAGUAACAUAUCGGAACAUGUCCGGAAGUGGGGGAUAACGUACCGAAAGGUACGCUAAUACCGCAUAUGCCCUGAGGGGAAAGGCGGGGAUCGCAAGACCUGUCGCUUUCGGAGUGGCCGAUAUCGGAUUAGCUAGAUGGUGAGGUAAAGGCUCACCAUGGCGACGAUCCGUAGCUGGUCUGAGAGGACGACCAGCCACACUGGGACUGAGACACGGCCCAGACUCCUACGGGUGGCUG
RNAcentral lists this ribosomal RNA (318 nucleotides) under uncultured Pseudomonadota bacterium. RNAcentral's name for it is "bacterial SSU rRNA". It matches the Rfam family "Bacterial small subunit ribosomal RNA", at positions 30 to 351 of the family's 1533-position model. The record is from RNAcentral. Lineage: Bacteria; Pseudomonadati; Pseudomonadota.